Solanum verrucosum is the source of this 1050-nucleotide RNA transcript. It is a transcript of the gene named heavy metal-associated isoprenylated plant protein 7-like, with no coding region annotated. NCBI's taxonomy places the organism in Eukaryota, Viridiplantae, Streptophyta, Magnoliopsida, Solanales, Solanaceae. The record is from RefSeq and is a predicted model, not a curated record. The transcript is spliced from 5 exons.
UUAAAGAAGGAAAAACUUUUCAUUUACUUUAUAAGUUUUUCAUUGAAAAUCAAGAGUUUGUUGGACGAUUUUUUACUACAUGGCUGAGGAAAAAGAGAACAAAGGGGAGGAGGUAAAAAAGGAGGAGGAAAAGAAAGAAGAAGAGAAAAAAGUAGAGGAAAAAAAAGAAGAUGAAAUUCAAGAAAUUGUGCUUAAAGUUGAUAUGCAUUGUGAAGCUUGUGCAAGAAAAGUUGCAAGAUCCCUCAAAGGUUUUCAAGGAGUGGAGGAAGUAAAGGCAGAUUCUAAGGCUAGCAAAGUGGUGAUAAAAGGGAAAAAUGCAGAUCCUCUCAAAGUGUGUGAAAGAAUUAAAAAAAAAAGUGGUAGAAAAGUGGAAUUGAUUUCACCUUUGCCAAAACCACCAGAAGAACAUAAAAAAGAAGAAGAAAAGAAAGAGGUGUUGCCAAAAGUAGAAGAGAAGAAAGAUGAGCCUCCUCCGGUCAUAACAGUGAAGAUGACAGUUCAGAUGCAUUGUGAAGCUUGUGCACAAGUAAUGCAGAAACGAAUCCGAAAAAUUCAAGGUGUUGAAUCUGUAACGACGGACCUAGGAAACAAUCAAGUAGUAGUAAAAGGUGUCGUUGAUCCAGAGAAGUUAGCGAACGACGUGUACAAGAGGACAGGGAAGCAAGCUAUAGUAGUGAAGGAAGAAGAAGUAAAAAAGGAAGAAGAGAAGAAAGAAGAAGAGAAAAAAGAAGAAAAGAAAGAAAGUGAAGAAGAAAAAGGCAAAGAGGAAGAUGAUAAGACAACAAUAGAUAUCAAGAAAAAUGAAUAUAUGCAUCAAAGGGACUACAUUUUCAUGGAGUAUGCUAAUUACCCCCUCAGAUUUUCAGUGAUGAGAAUCCUAAUGCUUGCUCUAUCAUGUAACCUUUUCGGUUACUCAGUGGCGGAACCAGGAAUUCUGACAAGGAAAUUUCAUUGCAUGUAGUGUUGUUAUUGUUCGAUUUUCGAUAUGUUCUAGUCUAGUAUAUUCUAAUAAAGAUUUAUUAAGUUGUCUAUUUGAGAGAUUUUUCUCAA